This 497-nucleotide ribosomal RNA is filed under the name uncultured bacterium. Its description in RNAcentral is "partial 16S ribosomal RNA". It matches the Rfam family "Bacterial small subunit ribosomal RNA", at positions 28 to 507 of the family's 1533-position model. The record is from RNAcentral.
GAUGAACGCUGGCGGCGUGCCUAAUACAUGCAAGUCGAGCGAACGGACGGGAAGCUUGCUUCUCUGAUGUUAGCGGCGGACGGGUGAGUAACACGUGGAUAACCUUCCUAUAAGACUGGGAUAACUUCGGGAAACCGGAGCUAAUACCGGAUAAUAUUUUGAACCGCAUGGUUCAAAAGUGAAAGACGGUCUUGCUGUCACUUAUAGAUGGAUCCGCGCUGCAUUAGCUAGUUGGUAAGGUAACGGCUUACCAAGGCAACGAUGCAUAGCCGACCUGAGAGGGUGAUCGGCCACACUGGAACUGAGACACGGUCCAGACUCCUACGGGAGGCAGCAGUAGGGAAUCUUCCGCAAUGGGCGAAAGCCUGACGGAGCAACGCCGCGUGAGUGAUGAAGGUCUUCGGAUCGUAAAACUCUGUUAUUAGGGAAGAACAUAUGUGUAAGUAACUGUGCACAUCUUGACGGUACCUAAUCAGAAAGCCACGGCUAACUACGUG